RNAcentral lists this small RNA (207 nucleotides) under Arabidopsis thaliana (thale cress). RNAcentral's name for it is "ATSL149070". The record is from RNAcentral. Lineage: Eukaryota; Viridiplantae; Streptophyta; Magnoliopsida; Brassicales; Brassicaceae.
AGCAGUUUUUGCAUCAUGGAUUAAUUGCUACAAUUUGAUAUGUGUCUUUUAAACCUUUUGGUCUAAGUGAAGUAAUAGAUGUGAUGUUCUGUGUGUCAUUUUACACUACAACAUGUACUUUUAAUUAAACACUCGCGUCUUUACUUAAUAUCAUGGGUCUGUCUACAAAAGGGGGAAUUCAAAGUUUCUUACACAAAAUCCAAAAAA